GGAAGGCCUGUAGCCCAGUGGCAGGGUUCAUGCCUUGCAUGCAAAAGGUCCUAGGUUCAAUUUAUGGCAUCUCUA
Non-coding RNA from Podarcis lilfordi (Lilford's wall lizard), 75 nucleotides. The record is from the annotation of a GenBank genome assembly. Lineage: Eukaryota; Metazoa; Chordata; Lepidosauria; Squamata; Lacertidae.